UGGGGAAUAUUGCACAAUGGACGGAAGUCUGAUGCAGCGACGCCGCGUGGGGGAUGAAGGCUUUCGGGUUGUAAACUCCUUUCAGUACAGAAGAAGCUUUAUUGUGACGGUAUGUGCAGAAGAAGCGCCGGCUAACUACGUGCCAGCAGCCGCGGUAAUACGUAGGGCGCGAGCGUUGUCCGGAAUUAUUGGGCGUAAAGAGCUCGUAGGCGGUUUGUCGCGUCUGCUGUGAAAGACCGGGGCUCAACUCCGGGGCUGCAGUGGGUACGGGCAGGCUGGAGUGCGGUAGGGGUAACCGGAAUUCCUGGUGUAGCGGUGGAAUGCGCAGAUAUCAGGAGGAACACCGAUGGCGAAGGCAGGUUACUGGGCCGUUACUGACGCUGAGGAGCGAAAGCAUGGGUAGCGAACAGG
This 411-nucleotide ribosomal RNA is filed under the name Verrucomicrobiota bacterium. Its description in RNAcentral is "Verrucomicrobia bacterium partial 16S ribosomal RNA". It matches the Rfam family "Bacterial small subunit ribosomal RNA", at positions 355 to 776 of the family's 1533-position model. Lineage: Bacteria; Pseudomonadati; Verrucomicrobiota. The record is from RNAcentral.